RNAcentral lists this ribosomal RNA (433 nucleotides) under uncultured bacterium. Its description in RNAcentral is "partial 16S ribosomal RNA". It matches the Rfam family "Bacterial small subunit ribosomal RNA", at positions 29 to 507 of the family's 1533-position model. The record is from RNAcentral.
AACGAACGCUGGCGGCAUGCCUAACACAUGCAAGUCGAACGAGACCAUCGGGUCUAGUGGCGCACGGGUGCGUAACGCGUGGGAACCUGCCCUUAGGGUCGGAAUAACUCCCCGAAAGGGGUGCUAAUACCGGAUAAUGUCUUCGGCCCAAAGAUUUAUCGCCUUUGGAGGGACCCGAGUUGGAUUAGCUAGUUGGUAGGGUAAAAGCCUACCAAGGCGACGAUCCAUAGCUGGUCUGAGAGGAUGAUCAGCCACACUGGGACUGAGACACGGCCCAGACUCCUACGGGAGGCAGGAGUGGGGAAUAUUGGACAAUGGGCGAAAGCCUGAUCCAGCAAUGCCGCGUGAGUGAUGAAGGCCUUAGGGUUGUAAAGCUCUUUUACCCGGGAUGAUAAUGACAGUACCGGGAGAAUAAGCUCCGGCUAACUCCGUG